RNAcentral lists this long non-coding RNA (983 nucleotides) under Salvia miltiorrhiza (redroot sage). RNAcentral's name for it is "long non-coding RNA (SMIL_LNC008868)". Lineage: Eukaryota; Viridiplantae; Streptophyta; Magnoliopsida; Lamiales; Lamiaceae. The record is from RNAcentral.
GCUUGAUACUCGGGACUGAGUAUGUAAACUAAACUAAUAUGACAAAUUGAUUAUCUGAAUUUGUUGGUGUGUUUAAUCUCAUUCUGGAGGGCCCUAUUUAUAGUAGUCCAGGGGUUUCCUUGAACUGACGUGACUGUUUGGCCAAACAGGAGGUCCGAACUGGCGUGUCUCUUCGGUCUUGAACCGUCGCCACGUGCCCUGUUUGGACAAACAGAUCCGAACCAUCGUGUCUCUUCGGUCCUCAACCGCUGCCACGUCGGUUUGGGCAAACAGGUGGUCCGAACCGUCGUGUCUCUUCGAUCCUUAACCGUCACCACGUGCAUUGUUUGGGCAAACAGGUGGUCCGAACCAUGGAUAUCUUUGGACAUUAAUUACUCAUUCAAUUCUUUACAGAUUUGAACAAGUAAAUAUAUCAAAUUAAUCUACUCAACAUGUAGAUUCCAAAAAUAUCAUUUAAGUCCAUAAAUUACCAAAGUAAUUAUGGUAUUAAAUAAACUAUUUAUUCCAACAAGGGCUUUGCCUCCGCCGCCGAUUUGGAGGCCUAGGCUUUUGAUGGGCGCCGCGGCUGAAAAUUGAAGCCUGGGUCGUCCGUCCGCGCCACCUACCUCUGCUUCUCUCUUCCUUCCUCGACCGCGACAGCUUUCCCUUCCUUCGAAAAUCGAAGGGCUUUUGGAGGCCUAGGGCUUUUGAUGGGCUUCUCUCUCUGAAAAUCGAAGGCUGAGUGGUUUUGCGAUUUGCGAUCGGAAGAAAUUGGGUGAUUCUUUACAGUGGGUGUUUGGUGGCGAUAGACAGAGAGACGAGGGUGGCUGAUGGCGGCGACUUCGCCGGAGGAGGGAGGCGGUGGAUGAGAGGUGGUGGUUUGCGAUUUUUGUGGUUUGCGGUUUUUGUGGUCUGCGAUUUUUGUGGUCUGGUUUGCGGUUUGGGGACGGCGGUUUGGGGACGGUCUGGUUUGCCGGCGACGGUGGUCGCCUAUGGAGAAUGGG